RNAcentral lists this ribosomal RNA (482 nucleotides) under uncultured bacterium. RNAcentral describes it as "partial 16S ribosomal RNA". It matches the Rfam family "Bacterial small subunit ribosomal RNA", at positions 30 to 507 of the family's 1533-position model. The record is from RNAcentral.
AUUGAACGCUGGCGGCAUGCUUUACACAUGCAAGUCGAACGGUAACAGGCCGCAAGGUGCUGACGAGUGGCGAACGGGUGCGUAAUGCAUCGGAACGUGUCCAGUCGUGGGGGAUAACUACUCGAAAGAGUAGCUAAUACCGCAUACGAUCUAUGGAUGAAAGCGGGGGACCGUAAGGCCUCGCGCGAUUGGUGCGGCCGAUGUCAGAUUAGGUAGUUGGUGGGGUAAAGGCUCACCAAGCCAACGAUCUGUAGCUGGUCUGAGAGGACGACCAGCCACACUGGAACUGAGACACGGCCCAGACUCCUACGGGAGGCAGCAGUGGGGAAUUUUGGACAAUGGGCGCAAGCCUGAUCCAGCAAUGCCGCGUGCAGGAAGAAGGCCUUCGGGUUGUAAACUGCUUUUGUACGGAACGAAACGGCUCCGGUUAAUACCCGGGGCUAAUGACGGUACCGUAAGAAUAAGCACCGGCUAACUACGUG